This 449-nucleotide ribosomal RNA is filed under the name uncultured bacterium. Its description in RNAcentral is "partial 16S ribosomal RNA". It matches the Rfam family "Bacterial small subunit ribosomal RNA", at positions 29 to 523 of the family's 1533-position model. The record is from RNAcentral.
AACGAACGCUGGCGGCAUGCCUAACACAUGCAAGUCGAACGAGAUCUUCGGGUCUAGUGGCGCACGGGUGCGUAACGCGUGGGAAUCUGCCCUUUGGUUCGGAAUAACAGUUGGAAACGACUGCUAAUACCGGAUGAUGACGAAAGUCCAAAGAUUUAUCGCCAGAGGAUGAGCCCGCGUAGGAUUAGCUAGUUGGGGUGGUAAAGGCGCACCAAGGCGGCGAUCCUUAGCUGGUCUGAGAGGAUGAUCAGCCACACUGGGACUGAGACACGGCCCAGACUCCUACGGGAGGCAGCAGUGGGGAAUAUUGGACAAUGGGCGAAAGCCUGAUCCAGCAAUGCCGCGUGAGUGAUGAAGGCCUUAGGGUUGUAAAGCUCUUUUACCCGGGAUGAUAAUGACAGUACCGGGAGAAUAAGCUCCGGCUAACUCCGUGCCAGCAGCCGCGGUAA